GUGGAUUUACUAGGAAGGUGGGACGUUGGAGGGGCGGCCGCAUGGCGUGAUUACUGUCUCUGGCCACCGAGCAGAGCCAGUGACAGCAGCGUUCUGGUAGGCAGGCAGGCGUAUCAGGUUUCAGAGGAUGCGGCUGGGAACGGGAGUAGAGGUGAGGGGUCGUUGCAUCUGUCGCGGUGUGUAUCUUUUGGGGGUUCAGCGCCACCAGCGACUUGGGCCUCAUUCAUCGCGCUUACAAUUCUCCACCUCAUUUGAAGAACAAGCUUCGUAGCCCACGGAGCUGAGGUAUAUGAGCUCCCUGAAAGCACAAAGCAGUUAUUUCCAUCUUCAGAUCAUUCAGAGAUUAUGAAGGCACAAACCCUGCCUUCAAUUUGCUUAUAGUCAAGUGGAGCAGACACAAGUAAAUGAUUGCAGUAUAGCCACUUAAGUAAUCUAAAAGAGGUGAGUGUGGCACUUAACCUCUCCUGGGAGGGGGAGGAAUAAGGCAGUGUUUCCAAGAGGUGAUUUUGGAGCUAUACAGGCAUUAGGUAGACAAGGAAGGGGAGGUCCAUUCUGGGUGCCUAGGCCUCUGUGGCUGAUUUAUAAAUCGUAAAU
Molecule: non-coding RNA, 594 nt
Filed under: Pan troglodytes (chimpanzee)
Lineage: Eukaryota; Metazoa; Chordata; Mammalia; Primates; Hominidae
Source: RNAcentral